This 490-nucleotide ribosomal RNA is filed under the name uncultured bacterium. Its description in RNAcentral is "partial 16S ribosomal RNA". It matches the Rfam family "Bacterial small subunit ribosomal RNA", at positions 28 to 507 of the family's 1533-position model. The record is from RNAcentral.
GAUGAACGCUAGCUACAGGCUUAACACAUGCAAGUCGCGGGGCAGCAUGGGGGUUGCUUGCAAUCCCCGAUGGCGACCGGCGCACGGGUGAGUAACGCGUAUCCAACCUGCCCUUCACCACGGGAUAACCCGGCGAAAGUCGGACUAAUACCGUAUGUUGUCCAUUGACGGCAUCCGAUUUGGACGAAAGGCUUGGCGGUGAGGGAUGGGGAUGCGUCCGAUUGGCGAGAAGGCGGGGUAACGGCACACCGUGGCUACGAUCGGUAGGGGUUCUGAGAGGAAGGUCCCCCGCACUGGAACUGAGACACAGUCCAGAAUCCUACGGGAGGCAGCAGUGACGAAUAUUGGUCAAUGGGCGUAAGCCUGAACCAGCCAAGUAGCGUGCAGGAUGACGGCCCUAUGGGUUGUAAACUGCUUUUAUGCGGGGAUAAAGUGGCCAACGUGUGGGCUUUUGCAGGUACCGCAUGAAUAAGGACCGGCUAAUUCCGUG